RNAcentral lists this ribosomal RNA (253 nucleotides) under uncultured bacterium. Its description in RNAcentral is "partial 16S ribosomal RNA". It matches the Rfam family "Bacterial small subunit ribosomal RNA", at positions 524 to 776 of the family's 1533-position model. The record is from RNAcentral.
GACGAACCGUGCGAACGUUGUUCGGAAUCACUGGGCUUAAAGGGCGCGUAGGCGGGUCAUCAAGUCCGGGGUGAAAGCCCCCAGCUUAACUGGGGAAGUGCCUUGGAUACUGAUGGUCUUGAGGGGGGUAGGGGCAGUGGGAACUUCCGGUGGAGCGGUGAAAUGCGUUGAUAUCGGAAGGAACGCCGGUGGCGAAAGCGCACUGCUGGACCUUUUCUGACGCUGAGGCGCGAAAGCCAGGGGAGCAAACGGG